Molecule: ribosomal RNA, 207 nt
Filed under: uncultured bacterium
Lineage: Bacteria
Description: partial 16S ribosomal RNA
Rfam family: Bacterial small subunit ribosomal RNA
Source: RNAcentral
CGCGUAGGCGGGCUGUUAAGUCGGGGGUGAAAUCCCGGGGCCCAACCCCGGAACUGCCUCCGAUACUGGCAGCCUAGAGGACGGAAGAGGCGAGUGGAAUGCCGAGUGUAGAGGUGAAAUUCGUAGAUAUUCGGCGGAACACCGGUGGCGAAGGCGGCUCGCUGGUCCGUUUCUGACGCUGAGGUGCGAAAGCGUGGGGAGCAAACA